Molecule: ribosomal RNA, 346 nt
Filed under: uncultured bacterium
Lineage: Bacteria
Description: partial 16S ribosomal RNA
Rfam family: Bacterial small subunit ribosomal RNA
Source: RNAcentral
CCUACGGGAGGCUGCAGUGGGGGAUAUUGCACAAUGGGGGAAACCCUGAUGCAGCGACGCCGCGUGAGUGAAGAAGUAUUUCGGUAUGUAAAGCUCUAUCAGCAGGGAAGAAAAUGACAGUACCUGACCAAGAAGCCACGGCUAACGACGUGCCAGCAGCCGCGGGAAUACGUAGGGGGCAAGCGUUAUCCGGAUUUCCUGGGUGUAAAGGGAGCGUAGACGGUUAGGUAAGGAUGGAGUGAAAGCCCGGGGCCCAACCCCGGGACUGCUUUGGAAACUGUGUAACUGGAGUACAGGAGGGGCAGGCGGAAUUCCUGGUGUAGCGGUGAAAUGCGUAGAUAUCAGG